CUCUCUCUCUCUCCGACCGAAGCUGCCAUUGCUGCCGCCGGCCAUCUCCAGCAAGCCUCAGGCUAGCUACCAGCAACACAACGACGAGGCUACCUCUGGCAUGAACUGGCAGCCACUUAUGGCAAAUGCAGCUUGCUUGUCAUUGGCACUCUGGAAAGGUUCAGAUGGACAGAAAAUAUGACCGGAGACUGGUGGAACGUUGGAAGAGAGCAAGCCUGGAAAUGGGGUUCUUCUGCCUGCAAAUGGGGUUUUCGCUGACUCAACAUUAAACUUAAAAAAACUCAUCUGUUAUAAAGAUUUUAGAAAGAAACUGCAAGGAGCACGGUUCAGGUAAAUCUGCGCCUCAUGGAGUCGCCUUGAUGCGUUUUGUUGAUGAGGCGGCUUGAUGCACACUUUUCAUGUCUCGAAGCGUGUGGACUUAACACAAGGCAAGUAUUUUACGGCCAUUCUUCUCCCUGCAAGCAGUAUAACAUUCAAUUAUGGCUUCAAUGAAGCUGAGCGCAUAGCUGUCCUGAGUUUAUGCAACUAUGGUACUUCCACUUGCAUUUGGCAACGGUUUCUGGAGUUAAUCCCCUGACCACAAAAUUAAGAAGAAGAAAAAAAACAUUUGCUUUGGACUGUGAAGAACUUGAGAUAUGAUUUGACAAUUCGCACAGAAUCAUAGACAGGAAACGUUUCACAAGA
This is a long non-coding RNA of Nymphaea colorata (pocket water lily), 684 nucleotides long. RefSeq lists it as uncharacterized. The record is from RefSeq and is a predicted model, not a curated record. The transcript is spliced from 2 exons. Lineage: Eukaryota; Viridiplantae; Streptophyta; Magnoliopsida; Nymphaeales; Nymphaeaceae.